This 1491-nucleotide ribosomal RNA is filed under the name Lacticaseibacillus rhamnosus. RNAcentral describes it as "bacterial SSU rRNA". It matches the Rfam family "Bacterial small subunit ribosomal RNA". Lineage: Bacteria; Bacillati; Bacillota; Bacilli; Lactobacillales; Lactobacillaceae. The record is from RNAcentral.
AUGCAAGUCGAACGAGUUCUGAUUAUUGAAAGGUGCUUGCAUCUUGAUUUAAUUUUGAACGAGUGGCGGACGGGUGAGUAACACGUGGGUAACCUGCCCUUAAGUGGGGGAUAACAUUUGGAAACAGAUGCUAAUACCGCAUAAAUCCAAGAACCGCAUGGUUCUUGGCUGAAAGAUGGCGUAAGCUAUCGCUUUUGGAUGGACCCGCGGCGUAUUAGCUAGUUGGUGAGGUAACGGCUCACCAAGGCAAUGAUACGUAGCCGAACUGAGAGGUUGAUCGGCCACAUUGGGACUGAGACACGGCCCAAACUCCUACGGGAGGCAGCAGUAGGGAAUCUUCCACAAUGGACGCAAGUCUGAUGGAGCAACGCCGCGUGAGUGAAGAAGGCUUUCGGGUCGUAAAACUCUGUUGUUGGAGAAGAAUGGUCGGCAGAGUAACUGUUGUCGGCGUGACGGUAUCCAACCAGAAAGCCACGGCUAACUACGUGCCAGCAGCCGCGGUAAUACGUAGGUGGCAAGCGUUAUCCGGAUUUAUUGGGCGUAAAGCGAGCGCAGGCGGUUUUUUAAGUCUGAUGUGAAAGCCCUCGGCUUAACCGAGGAAGUGCAUCGGAAACUGGGAAACUUGAGUGCAGAAGAGGACAGUGGAACUCCAUGUGUAGCGGUGAAAUGCGUAGAUAUAUGGAAGAACACCAGUGGCGAAGGCGGCUGUCUGGUCUGUAACUGACGCUGAGGCUCGAAAGCAUGGGUAGCGAACAGGAUUAGAUACCCUGGUAGUCCAUGCCGUAAACGAUGAAUGCUAGGUGUUGGAGGGUUUCCGCCCUUCAGUGCCGCAGCUAACGCAUUAAGCAUUCCGCCUGGGGAGUACGACCGCAAGGUUGAAACUCAAAGGAAUUGACGGGGGCCCGCACAAGCGGUGGAGCAUGUGGUUUAAUUCGAAGCAACGCGAAGAACCUUACCAGGUCUUGACAUCUUUUGAUCACCUGAGAGAUCAGGUUUCCCCUUCGGGGGCAAAAUGACAGGUGGUGCAUGGUUGUCGUCAGCUCGUGUCGUGAGAUGUUGGGUUAAGUCCCGCAACGAGCGCAACCCUUAUGACUAGUUGCCAGCAUUUAGUUGGGCACUCUAGUAAGACUGCCGGUGACAAACCGGAGGAAGGUGGGGAUGACGUCAAAUCAUCAUGCCCCUUAUGACCUGGGCUACACACGUGCUACAAUGGAUGGUACAACGAGUUGCGAGACCGCGAGGUCAAGCUAAUCUCUUAAAGCCAUUCUCAGUUCGGACUGUAGGCUGCAACUCGCCUACACGAAGUCGGAAUCGCUAGUAAUCGCGGAUCAGCACGCCGCGGUGAAUACGUUCCCGGGCCUUGUACACACCGCCCGUCACACCAUGAGAGUUUGUAACACCCGAAGCCGGUGGCGUAACCCUUUUAGGGAGCGAGCCGUCUAAGGUGGGACAAAUGAUUAGGGUGAAGUCGUACAAGGUACCCGUAGGAAA